CCUACGGGAGGCAGCAGUGGGGAAUAUUGGGCAAUGGGCGCAAGCCUGACCCAGCAACGCCGCGUGAAGGAAGAAGGCUUUCGGGUUGUAAACUUCUGUUGUAAGGGACGAAGCAAGUGACGGUACCUGACGAAUAAGCCAUGGCUAACUACGUGCCAGCAGCCGCGGUAAUACGUAGGUGGCAAGCGUUAUACGGAUUUAGUGGGUGUAAAGGGCGGGUAGGCGGGAAUGCAAGUCAGAUGUGAAAACUAUGGGGUCAACCCAUAGAACGCAUUUGAAACUGUAUUUCUUGAGUGCUGGAGAGGCAAGCGGAAUUCCGUGUGUAGCGGUGAAAUGCGUAGAUAUACGGAGGAACACCAGUGGCGAAGGCGGAUUGCUGGACAGUAACUGACGCUGAGGCGCGAAAGCGUGGGGAGCAAACAGGAUUAGAUACCCCAGUAGUC
This 443-nucleotide ribosomal RNA is filed under the name uncultured bacterium. Its description in RNAcentral is "partial 16S ribosomal RNA". It matches the Rfam family "Bacterial small subunit ribosomal RNA", at positions 338 to 795 of the family's 1533-position model. The record is from RNAcentral.